UUUGUAGGGACUUGUGGAAAGCGACAAGACGAGCUUGUGUUGCUGCUUGUGCACGGAUGCCGACGAAAGUUUGUGCUGGUUGUGAAGAGGUCGAUGGACACUGGAUACCGAAAGGACUAGUUUGUGCUA
Molecule: long non-coding RNA, 129 nt
Organism: Strongylocentrotus purpuratus (purple sea urchin)
Lineage: Eukaryota; Metazoa; Echinodermata; Echinoidea; Camarodonta; Strongylocentrotidae
Exons: 3
Source: RefSeq, a predicted model, not a curated record